This 74-nucleotide transfer RNA is filed under the name SAR324 cluster bacterium. Its description in RNAcentral is "tRNA-Arg". It matches the Rfam family "tRNA". From Rfam's summary of the family: Transfer RNA (tRNA) molecules are approximately 80 nucleotides in length. Their secondary structure includes four short double-helical elements and three loops (D, anti-codon, and T loops). Lineage: Bacteria; Deltaproteobacteria. The record is from RNAcentral.
GCACCCGUAGCUCAGCAGGAUAGAGCAAUUGAUUUCUAAUCAAUCGGCCAGAGGUUCGAGUCCUCUCGGGUGCG